GAGGCCUCGAGGGUGGGGAACUCCUCCAUCCCACUCUGUCAUCCGACUGAUCGCCGAAUGAUCAAUAGGUGUUGCCGGCAACUGUAAUUGCUCGUUGGCUGGCCAACGAACACCACUCGAUCGACAGAGCUUCGUAACAAUUGUGCCAUAUGGAAUGGCACCAGUGGUUCCUCCCUGUAAGAACCUCAGAAUCCCCUGAUGAAUAACAUGUCCCAGAUCAAUAUACUUGCCCGAGACAAUCCCAAAGAGCAGAAUAGCUCUAUCCACUGUCACCUCAUGCCCAUGUGAAGAUGGCAUGAUGUUAGCACAGAUGAAGGCAUUCCACGCCUUCGCAUACCG
RNAcentral lists this long non-coding RNA (339 nucleotides) under Daucus carota (carrot). Its description in RNAcentral is "long non-coding RNA (DCAR_LNC002688)". The record is from RNAcentral. Lineage: Eukaryota; Viridiplantae; Streptophyta; Magnoliopsida; Apiales; Apiaceae.